Molecule: ribosomal RNA, 514 nt
Filed under: uncultured bacterium
Lineage: Bacteria
Description: partial 16S ribosomal RNA
Rfam family: Bacterial small subunit ribosomal RNA
Source: RNAcentral
UGGGGAAUUUUGGACAAUGGGCGAAAGCCUGAUCCAGCAAUGCCGCGUGUGUGAAGAAGGCCUUCGGGUUGUAAAGCACUUUUGUCCGGAAAGAAAUCCUUGGCUCUAAUACAGUCGGGGGAUGACGGUACCGGAAGAAUAAGCACCGGCUAACUACGUGCCAGCAGCCGCGGUAAUACGUAGGGUGCAAGCGUUAAUCGGAAUUACUGGGCGUAAGGCGUGCGCAGGCGGUUUGCUAAGACCGAUGUGAAAUCCCCGGGCUCAACCUGGGAACUGCAUUGGUGACUGGCAGGCUAGAGUAUGGCAGAGGGGGGUAGAAUUCCACGUGUAGCAGUGAAAUGCGUAGAGAUGUGGAGGAAUACCGAUGGCGAAGGCAGCCCCCUGGGCCAAUACUGACGCUCAUGCACGAAAGCGUGGGGAGCAAACAGGAUUAGAUACCCUGGUAGUCCACGCCCUAAAACGAUGUCAACUAGUUGUUGGGGAUUCAUUUCCUUAGUAACGUAGCUAACGCGUG